AUUGAACGCUGGCGGAAUGCUUUACACAUGCAAGUCGAACGGCAGCGCGGACUUCGGUCUGGUGGCGAGUGGCGAACGGGUGAGUAAUGUAUCGGAACGUGCCCAGUCGUGGGGGAUAACGUAGUGAAAAUUACGCUAAUACCGCAUACGAUCUAUGGAUGAAAGCGGGGGAUCGCAAGACCUCGCGCGAUUGGCGCGGCCGAUAGCAGAUUAGGUAGUUGGUGGGGUAAAGGCCCACCAAGCCAACGAUCUGUAGCUGGUCUGAGAGGACGACCAGCCACACUGGAACUGAGACACGGUCCAGACUCCUACGGGAGGCAGCAGUGGGGAAUUUUGGACAAUGGGCGAAAGCCUGAUCCAGCCAUUCCGCGUGCAGGAUGAAGGCCCUCGGGUUGUAAACUGCUUUUGUACAGAACGAAAAGGUUUCUACUAAUACUGGGGGCUCAUGACGGUACCGUAAGAAUAAGCACCGGCUAACUACGUGCCAGCCGCCGCCGUAA
This 500-nucleotide ribosomal RNA is filed under the name uncultured bacterium. RNAcentral's name for it is "partial 16S ribosomal RNA". It matches the Rfam family "Bacterial small subunit ribosomal RNA", at positions 30 to 523 of the family's 1533-position model. The record is from RNAcentral.